This 253-nucleotide ribosomal RNA is filed under the name uncultured bacterium. RNAcentral's name for it is "partial 16S ribosomal RNA". It matches the Rfam family "Bacterial small subunit ribosomal RNA", at positions 524 to 776 of the family's 1533-position model. The record is from RNAcentral.
UACGGAGGGGGCUAGCGUUGUUCGGAAUCACUGGGCGUAAAGCGCGCGUAGGCGGCUUGAUAAGUUAGAAGUGAAAUCCCUGGGCUUAACCUAGGAAUUGCUUUUAAAACUGUCGAGCUAGAGAAUGGUAGAGGAGAGUGGAAUUCCUAGUGUAGAGGUGAAAUUCGUAGAUAUUAGGAGGAACACCAGAGGCGAAGGCGGCUCUCUGGGCCAUUUCUGACGCUAAGGCGCGAAAGCGUGGGGAGCAAACAGG